GCUGGAGUGUCGGUUGGAGUAGUGCAGCUCUCAGAGAGAGGUUUCCUCAGCCAGCAGAGCUGAAAAUAAGCAAUAACUCUCUGCAAAGUGCUGAGGAAGAGCUGGAGGUGUGAGUGAGGUCUGUGGAUGUGCAGCCAGCAGUGGCCCUGCCGAGGUGGAGCCUUCAGGGGCUGAACGCAGGCUCUGUGUUGGUGGAUGAAGACCUUGCAGUCGCUUCUGAAGGAAGCAAAGCUCAUGUGGUACCUCUGGGUUUCUCCAUCUCCUGCUGCCACACUCUGUGUUGCACUAAGAAAAAGCAAGUCAAGCCUCAGCUGCUUCUCCAAACAUCCGGUUCAAGGUGUCAGAGCUUUGAUCUGCAGUGACACCAGCUCUGGCUCGAGUGCCUAGUGACAGGGCCUUUGAACACAGGUGACUUCAAAACACCUUUUAGUUGCUCCCCUCUCCUUUGAGAACUGCUGGGGUUAACUUGAGAGCAAAGAGUGUGCAUAAUGUUGGCACUUCAGGAGGCCUAGAGUAGUCUGAAUGUAUGCCAGGGAGAUAGCACUGGCCUGGGCAGUGCUCAGCUGAUGGUUUCUGAAGCAAUGUGUCUGCUCUGAUAAGCAGAAAGGAUUGUCUGCUAGGGGUGAAGCUACUGAACAGGAGGAGGUUGUGAUAGCUGGGAACUCAAACUGGGCACCUCAGCUCUUAAGUAACAAGAA
Pogoniulus pusillus (Red-fronted tinkerbird) is the source of this 698-nucleotide long non-coding RNA. RefSeq lists it as uncharacterized. Lineage: Eukaryota; Metazoa; Chordata; Aves; Piciformes; Lybiidae. The record is from RefSeq and is a predicted model, not a curated record. The transcript is spliced from 2 exons.